This 359-nucleotide long non-coding RNA is filed under the name Phasianus colchicus (ring-necked pheasant). Its description in RNAcentral is "lncRNA (ENSPCLG00000021061.1)". Lineage: Eukaryota; Metazoa; Chordata; Aves; Galliformes; Phasianidae. The record is from RNAcentral.
UGCACUGGAUGCAUUGCCUGAUUAACUGUAGAUGUCCCUUUUUAUUGCAGGGGAGUGAGACUAUGUGACCUAUGGGAAUGCCUUCCAACUCAGACGAUUCUGUGGAAGAACUGUGACAUUUCAAUUCCUGCCAUUAAUUUUUGAAGAAGAUAUGUGACUGAAACAUCAUUUAAGAUUCACAUGCCUGAUACAUCACACGUGCCUUUUUCCAUAAGGAAAAUUGUAUCUUUCAUCAAGCUCUCUUCUAAGGCCUUCUUUACCUGUUGGCUGCUGAAGUGCAAGGUGACUUGGAGAGCAGAAAAUAGCUGACAGUGCUUUGACUUAUACUUGUAUGGAAAUGAUAAGAUUGCCUGGUGAGG